RNAcentral lists this ribosomal RNA (722 nucleotides) under Bacillus amyloliquefaciens. RNAcentral describes it as "bacterial SSU rRNA". It matches the Rfam family "Bacterial small subunit ribosomal RNA", at positions 453 to 1167 of the family's 1533-position model. The record is from RNAcentral. Lineage: Bacteria; Bacillati; Bacillota; Bacilli; Caryophanales; Bacillaceae.
GUGCCGUUCAAAUAGGGCGGCACCUUGACGGUACCUAACCAGAAAGCCACGGCUAACUACGUGCCAGCAGCCGCGGUAAUACGUAGGUGGCAAGCGUUGUCCGGAAUUAUUGGGCGUAAAGGGCUCGCAGGCGGUUUCUUAAGUCUGAUGUGAAAGCCCCCGGCUCAACCGGGGAGGGUCAUUGGAAACUGGGGAACUUGAGUGCAGAAGAGGAGAGUGGAAUUCCACGUGUAGCGGUGAAAUGCGUAGAGAUGUGGAGGAACACCAGUGGCGAAGGCGACUCUCUGGUCUGUAACUGACGCUGAGGAGCGAAAGCGUGGGGAGCGAACAGGAUUAGAUACCCUGGUAGUCCACGCCGUAAACGAUGAGUGCUAAGUGUUAGGGGGUUUCCGCCCCUUAGUGCUGCAGCUAACGCAUUAAGCACUCCGCCUGGGGAGUACGGUCGCAAGACUGAAACUCAAAGGAAUUGACGGGGGCCCGCACAAGCGGUGGAGCAUGUGGUUUAAUUCGAAGCAACGCGAAGAACCUUACCAGGUCUUGACAUCCUCUGACAAUCCUAGAGAUAGGACGUCCCCUUCGGGGGCAGAGUGACAGGUGGUGCAUGGUUGUCGUCAGCUCGUGUCGUGAGAUGUUGGGUUAAGUCCCGCAACGAGCGCAACCCUUGAUCUUAGUUGCCAGCAUUCAGUUGGGCACUCUAAGGUGACUGCCGGUGACAAACCGGA